Molecule: ribosomal RNA, 371 nt
Filed under: uncultured bacterium
Lineage: Bacteria
Description: bacterial SSU rRNA
Rfam family: Bacterial small subunit ribosomal RNA
Source: RNAcentral
GGAGGGUGCGAGCGUUGUCCGGAAUCACUGGGCGUAAAGGGCGCGUAGGUGGCUCGUUAAGUGGUCGGUGAAAUCCCGGGGCUCAACUCCGGGGCUGCCGGUCAGACUGGCGGGCUAGAGCACGGUAGGGGCAGAUGGAAUUCCCGGUGUAGCGGUGGAAUGCGUAGAUAUCGGGAAGAACACCAGUGGCGAAGGCGUUCUGCUGGGCCGUUGCUGACACUGAGGCGCGACAGCGUGGGGAGCAAACAGGAUUAGAUACCCUGGUAGUCCACGCCGUAAACGAUGGGCACUAGGCGUCGGGGGGAGCGACCCUCCCGGUGCCGUCGCUAACGCGUUAAGUUGUCCGCCUGGGGAGUACGGCCGCAAGGUUG